RNAcentral lists this ribosomal RNA (492 nucleotides) under uncultured bacterium. RNAcentral describes it as "partial 16S ribosomal RNA". It matches the Rfam family "Bacterial small subunit ribosomal RNA", at positions 29 to 507 of the family's 1533-position model. The record is from RNAcentral.
AGUGAACGCUGGCGGUAGGCCUAACACAUGCAAGUCGAACGGCAGCACAGUAAGAGCUUGCUCUUACGGGUGGCGAGUGGCGGACGGGUGAGGAAUACAUCGGAAUCUACUUUUUCGUGGGGGAUAACGUAGGGAAACUUACGCUAAUACCGCAUACGACCUACGGGUGAAAGCAGGGGAUCUUCGCACCUUGCGCGAUUGAAUGAGCCGAUGUCGGAUUAGCUAGUUGGCGGGGUAAAGGCCCACCAAGGCGACGAUCCGUAGCUGGUCUGAGAGGAUGAUCAGCCACACUGGAACUGAGACACGGUCCAGACUCCUACGGGAGGCAGCAGUGGGGAAUAUUAGACAAUGGGCGCAAGCCUGAUCCAGCCAUACCGCGUGGGUGAAGAAGGCCUUCGGGUUGUAAAGCCCUUUUGUUGGGAAAGAAAAGCAGCAGGUUAAUACCCCGCUGUUCUGACGGUACCCAAAGAAUAAGCACCGGCUAACUUCGUG